RNAcentral lists this ribosomal RNA (253 nucleotides) under uncultured bacterium. Its description in RNAcentral is "partial 16S ribosomal RNA". It matches the Rfam family "Bacterial small subunit ribosomal RNA", at positions 524 to 776 of the family's 1533-position model. The record is from RNAcentral.
UACAGAGGGUGCAAGCGUUAAUCGGAAUUACUGGGCGUAAAGCGCACGUAGGCGGUUUUUUAAGUCAGAUGUGAAAGCCCCGGGCUCAACCUGGGAAUUGCAUUUGAAACUGGGGAACUAGGGUGUGUGAGAGGGGGGUAGAAUUCCAAGUGUAGCGGUGAAAUGCGUAGAGAUUUGGAGGAAUACCAGUGGCGAAGGCGGCCCCCUGGCACAACACUGACGCUCAGGUGCGAAAGCGUGGGGAGCAAACAGG